UGGAUCAAAGCCAGUUGAUUAGGGUAUUUAGCUGUUAACUAAAUUUUUAUGGGUUUGAAUCCCAUUGGUCUAG
This 73-nucleotide transfer RNA is filed under the name Cercopithecus mitis boutourlinii. RNAcentral describes it as "tRNA-Asn". It matches the Rfam family "tRNA". From Rfam's summary of the family: Transfer RNA (tRNA) molecules are approximately 80 nucleotides in length. Their secondary structure includes four short double-helical elements and three loops (D, anti-codon, and T loops). Lineage: Eukaryota; Metazoa; Chordata; Mammalia; Primates; Cercopithecidae. The record is from RNAcentral.